CUUUCUUCACCCUAGUUCAUUCCGCCACCACCAUUCAUUCCGUCCCACCCUUCAUUCUGUUCAACCCUAGUCGUCGUCUCCUGCUCCAUCUUCCGUUCAACCCUAGCCUCGCCGCCGUCUCCUGCUCAAUCUUCCAUUCAACCCUAGCGCGCGCCGCCGUCACCUGCUCCAUCUCCGACAAUCUCUUUCACAGUGUUCCUUCUUCAACUCAGUAUUUUCUUUCAUAUUCCUCUUCCUCUUGGCUGUUAGAUUUUGUGAUUUAUGUAAGGUCUUGACUGAGAUCUUGGGUGAUCUAAUGUUCUUUGGUCCUAGCUGAGAUCUAAUUUAUAACACAAUCUCCUAUUUUCUUCAACGAAACAAAUCGGUUCUUCCUUUUCUCUUCGUUCACGACAUACUACAAGCAAAUCACUCCUAAAUCGUUGCCAAGAAACGUCGGAAACUUUGAUGCAGCAGCAGCAUCGUAAUGAAGCAGAUGUGAAUGAGGGGAGUUGGUUGACUUGAUCUCUUGGACUCAAAAUUUGACGGAUCGAAGACGGUGGUGAAAGGGUGAUUGUUCGAUGUAGAAAAUCAAUAUGUGGGUUGCGAAUGUUGUGUUCAUUAUUUUCUCAAAGAAUUUACAUGAUGUUGUGUUAUUUCCUCCUAUGUUGCGGUAAUGAUAUCAAUCACUAUGCAACAUUGAUUGAUCCAUGUAACAAUCAAUUUGAUGUUGCGGAUGAAAAAGGAAAAGGUAGUAUAUGCUAAACCUAAGGAUUGUACACCUUGCGUGAUUUCUAUGAUAUACGUUUCGGUGCUUGGAUCACUAUGGUAUAUGUUGGGUUGGGUCAGUUUGGAAUAACCAUAUGUCAACUCCCAUUUUUUAUUAUAACUUUUUAUAGACAAACUUACUUAUUAUGUCUAUUUCUUCUUUAU
Long non-coding RNA from Medicago truncatula (barrel medic), 909 nucleotides. RefSeq lists it as uncharacterized. The record is from RefSeq and is a predicted model, not a curated record. The transcript is spliced from 3 exons. Lineage: Eukaryota; Viridiplantae; Streptophyta; Magnoliopsida; Fabales; Fabaceae.